AGAAAAUGUCUGGCACAACAAUGGAAAAGUGAUUGCUGUUUGAUGUCAAUAGUUCAAGAAUUGGAAGAUUUUGGAUCAAGUAUCGCAUAGUCAGGAAUAAUAUUUGUUUAUUUGAACAUGUGGCUCAAGGCCAUUAUUAGUGUAGUCAAGUUCAGCAAAAGAAGAUCUAUAAAGAUGUUCACUAAAUAAAAUGACAGAUGUCUUGC
Molecule: long non-coding RNA, 206 nt
Filed under: Mytilus galloprovincialis (Mediterranean mussel)
Lineage: Eukaryota; Metazoa; Mollusca; Bivalvia; Mytilida; Mytilidae
Source: RNAcentral